Molecule: ribosomal RNA, 428 nt
Filed under: uncultured bacterium
Lineage: Bacteria
Description: bacterial SSU rRNA
Rfam family: Bacterial small subunit ribosomal RNA
Source: RNAcentral
UGGGGAAUUUUGGACAAUGGGGGCAACCCUGAUCCAGCCAUGCCGCGUGCGGGAAGAAGGCCUUCGGGUUGUAAACCGCUUUCGGACAGAAAGAAAUCGCCUUGGCUAAUACCUGAGGUGGAUGACGGUACUGUAAGAAGAAGCACCGGCUAACUACGUGCCAGCAGCCGCGGUAAUACGUAGGGUGCGAGCGUUAAUCGGAAUUACUGGGCGUAAAGCGUGCGCAGGCGGAUAUUUAAGUCAGAUGUGAAAUCCCCGGGCUUAACCUGGGAAUGGCAUUUGAAACUGGAUGUCUAGAGUGUGGCAGAGGGGGGUGGAAUUCCACGUGUAGCAGUGAAAUGCGUAGAGAUGUGGAGGAACACCGAUGGCGAAGGCAGCCCCCUGGGCUAACACUGACGCUCAUGCACGAAAGCGUGGGGAGCAAACAG